Molecule: ribosomal RNA, 644 nt
Filed under: Bacillus sp. (in: firmicutes)
Lineage: Bacteria; Bacillati; Bacillota; Bacilli; Caryophanales; Bacillaceae
Description: bacterial SSU rRNA
Rfam family: Bacterial small subunit ribosomal RNA
Source: RNAcentral
CUGGGGGCGUGCCUAUACAUGCAAGUCGAGCGGACCGACGGGAGCUUGCUCCCUUAGGUCAGCGGCGGACGGGUGAGUAACACGUGGGUAACCUGCCUGUAAGACUGGGAUAACUCCGGGAAACCGGGGCUAAUACCGGAUGCUUGAUUGAACCGCAUGGUUCAAUUAUAAAAGGUGGCUUUUAGCUACCACUUACAGAUGGACCCGCGGCGCAUUAGCUAGUUGGUGAGGUAACGGCUCACCAAGGCAACGAUGCGUAGCCGACCUGAGAGGGUGAUCGGCCACACUGGGACUGAGACACGGCCCAGACUCCUACGGGAGGCAGCAGUAGGGAAUCUUCCGCAAUGGACGAAAGUCUGACGGAGCAACGCCGCGUGAGUGAUGAAGGUUUUCGGAUCGUAAAACUCUGUUGUUAGGGAAGAACAAGUACCGUUCGAAUAGGGCGGUACCUUGACGGUACCUAACCAGAAAGCCACGGCUAACUACGUGCCAGCAGCCGCGGUAAUACGUAGGUGGCAAGCGUUGUCCGGAAUUAUUGGGCGUAAAGCGCGCGCAGGCGGUUUCUUAAGUCUGAUGUGAAAGCCCCCGGCUCAACCGGGGAGGGUCAUUGGAAACUGGGGAACUUGAGUGCAGAAGAGGAGAGU